Non-coding RNA from Triticum aestivum (bread wheat), 135 nucleotides. NCBI's taxonomy places the organism in Eukaryota, Viridiplantae, Streptophyta, Magnoliopsida, Poales, Poaceae. The record is from Rfam.
UUGUUACUCCCUCCGUCCCAAAAUUCUUGUUUUAGAUUUGUCUUGGUAUAGAUGUUUCUAAUACUAAAACGUGACUUGAUACAUCCGUAUUUAGACAAAUCUAAGACAAGAAUUUUGGGACGGAGGGAGUACUUG